AUGGCGAUUGAACCUCUCCGUGUUAAUCUGGACGCCGUCCCAGCAACCGACCAACCAUACCAUGGUGAUUCCUCUUCCCAGCAGCAACUCACCAUGCACAACUACGACGUCAGUGGUCCACACUCCACAGUUCUCUCCCCAGCCAACCAAGCAAGUGCCAACAGCAGCCAUGGACAAAACCAAUUUCUGAUUGCUGCAGGGGGUAGCCCUGAGCACCGCCAGAUCAGGUCAAACGAUGCUCUUCACUACAUAAGCCAGAUGCUGAUGGAAGAGAACGACGAGAGAGUCGACAUAUGCCAAGGGGAGGCUGCUCUCCAGGCUGCUGAGAAGCCAUUCCGUGACAUUCUUGGGGAGGUAUGCGUGCCGGCUACUAACCGGCCGCCAUUGCAUAGCAACAGCAAACCAGACAACGCUGAUAAGAGUGGUACCAGCUGUUACAAGAGGCUCUGGAGCACAAGCUUCAGUAAUGACUGUUCCAGUUACAGCUUGCUACAGCCCUUAACAACCCCGUUGAGUCCAUAUAUCUGCAAUAGUGGUCUUUCUCUACAAAAACGUCCUUUGACAAGUGUUGGACCAACUUCCGGAUUUGGUUUCCCCGCCUUGCAUUGUCACGGAGGUGUGGACGAGGAAAAUAUGUUUGCUCCAAAUAUUGAUAAGCUGGAGAUGUAUUUAGAGGACGGCAUACUUUAUAUUUCCCAACUGACUAUGAAGGCAAAAGUAGGAGAGAGGAGCAAAAACGCGAUCCUUGAGGUGGCAAACCAAAGGGAUAUCUUUCAAGGAAGGAGCAAUAAACAUCAUGCCAUCACCACUUGUGCAAUAAUUCGAAGUGAAAAUUUCGACCGAGUUCUGCUAUGCUAUGGUCGGAAGAGUUUCGAUCUAAUAACAAGAUUGCAAGAAAGGAUGGCGGAGGAAGGAAACAAGAACUCACAGAAAGGCCGGAGCAAAGGAUGUCGGAAACUAUGGGCUAGGAAGCAACCGAGGAAAGAAUUGGUUGAUCUCAGGACUCUCCUUGUCCAUUGCGCACAAGCAGUGGCCCAAGACAACCACCUGUUGGCCAGUGAACUCCUAAAGAAGAUAAGACAACACUCCUCAGCAGAUGGUGAUUGUACUCAGAGACUGGCAUUUUACUUGGCGGAUGGCCUUGAGGCACGCUUCGGUGGGAUCGGGAGUCAUGUUUAUGGCAAUCUAAUGGAACGGCGAACAAGUGCAGCAGAUUGGUUUGAGGCUUACAGGCUUUUUAUUGCAGCUUGCCCUUUCAUAAGGGCGUCAUACUACUUUGCCAACCAAACUAUUCUUGAUGUCUCACAAAGGCAACCAAGGGUGCACAUCGUCGAUUUCGGCAUCGACUUCGGCUUUCAGUGGCCAUUAAUGAUUCAGAAGCUUGCACAGCGAGAAGAGGGAGCCCCUAAGCUUCGGAUCACAGGCAUAGAAGUUCCCCAGCCAGGUUUCCACCCCUGCAAAAUGAUCGAGGAGACAGGGAAGCGGCUGGCUGAUUAUGCAAACAUGUUCAAGGUACCUUUUCAGUAUCAGGGCAUUGCCGCUGCAAGAUGGGAGACCGUUAAAAUUGAGGAUCUUAACAUCGACGAGGAUGAAGUUCUCAUAAUCAACUGCAUAUUCCGGAUGAAGAAUCUUGGCCAUGAAACCGAGGCCAUAAAUAGCGCAAGGGAUGAGGUGCUGAAAACAAUGAGGAGGAUGAACCCAAAGGUUUUAAUUUCUGGCACCGUGAAUGGGUUACAUAGUUCUCCCUUCUUCAUACAACGAUUCAAAGAGGUUAUGCUCCAUUACUCUUCAAUGUUCGACAUGCUUGAUGCAAUUGUUCCACGGGAUAAUGAAGCAAGAAAGAUGAUUGAGAGGAUCCCAUUUGGGCGGGAUGCACUUAACAUCAUAGCAUGCGAGGAUGCGGAAAGGACUCAGAGGCCAGAAAGUUACAGGCAGUGGCAAGCAAGGUUCCUCAAGGCUAGGUUCCAGCAGCUUCCUGUCGAUCCAGCCAUCUUAAAGAAGAUAGUACACAUGAAGAACUUACAUUAUCAUGAGGAAUUCUUUGCUGUUGAAGAUUGCGGCUGGCUGCUACAAGGAUGGAAAGGAAGAGUCCUUUAUGCUGUAUCUAAAUGGGAACCUAAUGAAACAUAUGAUGAUCAGUAA
RNAcentral lists this ribosomal RNA (2142 nucleotides) under Triticum aestivum (bread wheat). RNAcentral's name for it is "partial small subunit ribosomal RNA". The record is from RNAcentral. Lineage: Eukaryota; Viridiplantae; Streptophyta; Magnoliopsida; Poales; Poaceae.